GACGAACGCUGGCGGCGUGCCUAAUACAUGCAAGUAGAGCGCUGAAGGUUGGUACUUGUACCAACUGGAUGAGCAGCGAACGGGUGAGUAACGCGUGGGGAAUCUGCCUUUGAGCGGGGGACAACAUUUGGAAACGAAUGCUAAUACCGCAUAAAAACUUUAAACACAAGUUGGAAGUUUGAAAGAUGCAAUUGCAUCACUCAAAGAUGAUCCCGCGUUGUGUUAGCUAGUUGGUGAGGUAAAGGCUCACCAAGGCGAUGAUACAUAGCCGACCGGAGGGGGUGGUCGGCCACAUUGGGACUGAGACACGGCCCAAACUCCUACGGGAGGCAGCAGUAGGGAAUCUUCGGCAAUGGACGAAAGUCUGACCGAGCAACGCCGCGUGAGGGAAGAAGGUUUUCGGAUCGUAAAACUCUGUUGGUAGAGAAGAACGUUGGUGAGAGUGGAAAGCUCAUCAAGUGACGGUAACUACCCAGAAAGGGACGGCUAACUACGUG
This 497-nucleotide ribosomal RNA is filed under the name uncultured bacterium. RNAcentral describes it as "partial 16S ribosomal RNA". It matches the Rfam family "Bacterial small subunit ribosomal RNA", at positions 28 to 507 of the family's 1533-position model. The record is from RNAcentral.